CACUAUGUGACUUUCAGAAUAUAACGAAUAACAACAAAACUUGUCAGUUUGUAUAGAGCCCUUGUGGAAUUAUCAUAAGAUUAACAUAAAAUAAUUUUUAACAGAAAAUACAACCGACUUCAAAAUGCGCUAAAAAGUUUAAAAUAAUUUAUAUUUCGUUUAUACAACUACGUGAAAAAGACAGCAUGGAAAAAAUGGAUUGUACUGCGGCAGAAAGUGUACAAGUAGAAAAGGAAAGCGAGGAAGCCCAGAAUCGUGGGAACAAUCACCAUACACAUAACACACUUAAAUUUAGAAAAGUAAAGAGCAGCAAAGGAGGAGAAAAAUUCGCAACAACAAAAAACUAAAGAAGCGGUUGAGAACAAUGCCGCCAGCCGUCUCAAGAUAUCCGGGGGGGUAUGUAUCUCACCCUCCCCCCCAACACACAUCGCCGCCGCCCUCGCAACAUUACAUAUCGCCCCCGCCCCCGCAACAUUGCUCAUCACCACCGCGGCCCGAGAUGUACGCAGCUCCAAUGCUGUGUAUGUCCCAGCCGCCAGUUAUAUACCACGGCCAGCAACCCAUGAUAUAUGUACCGCCGCAACCCCUAAUAUAUGUCCACCCGCAACCGGCAAUGUAUGUAC
Osmia lignaria (orchard mason bee) is the source of this 623-nucleotide long non-coding RNA. RefSeq lists it as uncharacterized. NCBI's taxonomy places the organism in Eukaryota, Metazoa, Arthropoda, Insecta, Hymenoptera, Megachilidae. The record is from RefSeq and is a predicted model, not a curated record.